Oncorhynchus kisutch (coho salmon) is the source of this 703-nucleotide long non-coding RNA. RefSeq lists it as uncharacterized. The record is from RefSeq and is a predicted model, not a curated record. NCBI's taxonomy places the organism in Eukaryota, Metazoa, Chordata, Actinopteri, Salmoniformes, Salmonidae. The transcript is spliced from 2 exons.
ACAUGAGUGAAGAAGAAAAUCUCUAAAGACCAAAACAUGCCGGUGUUUAAAAUGGUCCUAGCUGUACCCUGAAUAAUCAACCAUUAAGAAUAUGAGGAUCAUUCACACAUUGAAAUGGUUUAAAACUUCCAGACCAGAAAAUGGUAAGACUCAAACUCUCAAGUGAAGAAGAUAAAGACUCCAUUGGAACAUUCAGUCUGCAGCUGUUUAAGUACUUUAGUCUAGUAAACUCAACCAAAGACCACCGCGUGUGUAACAUUUGAAGAAUCGAGUCUGACGAAGGCGAGAGUGGAAGAACAUUUCCCUCUCACCACCGUGUGGUACAUCUGAAGGUACUGUCCUAACGAACACUCCAAGACAAAGAAGCCUACUACAACUACAAAGGACAUUGUGACCUCUAGUGGACAAACCAGAGACUUCUGUCGAACGACUCCCCAUAGAUGGACCGGGCGAUUUUAACAGAGAGAAACGACAAAGACAUGCAAGCGUUGAAGGACAUCCCACCCUGACAACCAGACAUAUGUAAAGAACUUGGGAACCUCUCAGCCAUCAGGAUAAUCAUCAUAUCCCAAGAUCUGAUUCUGAAAUGUACAACAACACAAUGUGUUACACUUACUGCACUGUUGGAGCUAGCAUUUCGCUGCACCUGCCAUAACAUCUGCUAAUCUGUGGAUACAACCAAUAAACUCUGAUUUGAGAUAGA